Molecule: transfer RNA, 61 nt
Filed under: Falcidens halanychi
Lineage: Eukaryota; Metazoa; Mollusca; Caudofoveata; Chaetodermatida; Chaetodermatidae
Description: tRNA-Trp
Source: RNAcentral
AAGACUUUAAGUUAAAGAAACUAAAAACCUUCAAAGUUUUAUAUGUGUAUCACAAGUUUUG